Molecule: non-coding RNA, 211 nt
Organism: Pelobates cultripes (western spadefoot toad)
Lineage: Eukaryota; Metazoa; Chordata; Amphibia; Anura; Pelobatidae
Source: the annotation of a GenBank genome assembly
GUGCAGCAAUCACCAAUGGUUUUGUUGGUUUCCAUGAAAAUUGCCCAACAUGAAAGGUAACACUUUGAUAAAUAUCUCCCUGUGUAUCCAGUAAAAUAUAUACAAUGGUAAGAAAUCUCCUCCUGCUAAUUGUGCUGCCCACGUCAUAUUGGUAAAGAAGGAAAUAGUGUUGGUGGUAGGCUGUCAGUGGUCACUAGGGAGCAUGGCACUG